GGGUGGGGCACAGGAGGUGAAGGGUUAACAUGCAGGGCUGCAAGUAGACUUUAUAGGUUGGGUCAUCUGUGAAGAGGUGAAGGGUUAACAUGCAGGGCUGCAAGUAGACUUUACAGGUUGGGGCACGUUGUGAAGGGUUAACAUGCAGGG
Long non-coding RNA from Haliotis rubra (blacklip abalone), 150 nucleotides. RefSeq lists it as uncharacterized. The transcript is spliced from 3 exons. The record is from RefSeq and is a predicted model, not a curated record. Lineage: Eukaryota; Metazoa; Mollusca; Gastropoda; Lepetellida; Haliotidae.